Polistes dominula (European paper wasp) is the source of this 380-nucleotide long non-coding RNA. The record is from RefSeq and is a predicted model, not a curated record. Lineage: Eukaryota; Metazoa; Arthropoda; Insecta; Hymenoptera; Vespidae.
AUUGGGCAAUGUGCGAUUAUUCUGAUACUUCGCUUAUUCAUCAUGAGUCAUGACGGUCCACCCACCUCCCGUUCUUCGAUAUCGUCGUUGAUUCGUUCGUUCGCUCGUUGGUUCGUUCGGUUGAUCGAUAAACCGUCGAUUUUACAGGCAAUCACGGAUGAUCAAGUAUGAUUGUAUGUAAAAUCGAUGGGGUCACCGCACCCGGAAUCGCAGGUGACACGACACUUUCAUCGUCAUCGAAUUCGUGGCAACCUCACGAUGCUUUGUCGAACGUAUUCAGAUGCUACACGAAGUGGAAACACACUUGAGGAAAGAUCGAAACCAACGUAAAAAAGUCAAGAAAUCGCUUACGUAAUUCCGAGAGUUUCUAUCGGAAGUGU